RNAcentral lists this ribosomal RNA (253 nucleotides) under uncultured bacterium. RNAcentral's name for it is "partial 16S ribosomal RNA". It matches the Rfam family "Bacterial small subunit ribosomal RNA", at positions 524 to 776 of the family's 1533-position model. The record is from RNAcentral.
UACGUAGGUGACAAGCGUUGUCCGGAUUUACUGGGCGUAAAGAGCGCGCAGGCGGUCGUUUAAGUCGAGUGUGAAAGCCCCCGGCUCAACUGGGGAGGGUCAUUCGAUACUGAUCGACUCGAAGGCAGGAGAGGGAAGUGGAAUUCCCGGUGUAGUGGUGAAAUGCGUAGAUAUCGGGAGGAACACCAGUGGCGAAGGCGACUUCCUGGCCUGUUCUUGACGCUGAGGCGCGAAAGCUAGGGGAGCAAACGGG